Molecule: ribosomal RNA, 397 nt
Filed under: Chlorarachniophyceae sp.
Lineage: Eukaryota; Cercozoa; Chlorarachniophyceae
Description: partial small subunit ribosomal RNA
Rfam family: Eukaryotic small subunit ribosomal RNA
Source: RNAcentral
AUUCCAGCUCCAAUAGCGUAUAUUAAAGUUGUUGCAGUUAAAAAGCUCGUAGUUGGAUUUCAGUCUUAAUUCGUCUGGCCCGCUCCCUUGAGGAGCCGAGUGCCGGUUGCGAAUUGGACUUCCUUCUAGCAUGAAUCUCCUACCGUUAUGCGGCCGGGAAGGACAUCUGGAUCAUUUACUUUGAAGAAAUUAGAGUGUUCAAAGCAAGCUUACGCUGUGAAUAUAUUAGCAUGGAAUAAUAACAUAGGACUCGGGUUCUAUUUUGUUGGUUUCUAGGACUCAAGUAAUGAUUGAUAGGGACAGUUGGGGGUGCUGCUAUUAUAUGGCCAGAGGUGAAAUUCACGGAUUCAUAUAAGAGCAACUUAUGCGAAAGCAUUCACCAAGGAUGUCUUCAUCA